RNAcentral lists this ribosomal RNA (497 nucleotides) under uncultured bacterium. RNAcentral's name for it is "partial 16S ribosomal RNA". It matches the Rfam family "Bacterial small subunit ribosomal RNA", at positions 28 to 507 of the family's 1533-position model. The record is from RNAcentral.
GACGAACGCUGGCGGCGUGCCUAAUACAUGCCAGUAGAACGCUGAAACUUGGUGCUUGCACCGAGCGGAUGAGUUGCGAACGGGUGAGUAGCGCGUAGGUAACCUGCCUGGUAGCGGGGGAUAACUAUUGGAAACGAUAGCUAAUACCGCAUAAGAGUAGAUGUUGCAUGACAUUUGCUUAAAAGGUGCAAUUGCACCACUACCAGAUGGACCUGCGUUGUAUUAGCUAGUUGGUGGGGUAACAGCUCACCAAGGCGACGAUACAUAGCCGACCUGAGAGGGUGAUCGGCCACACUGGGACUGAGACACGGCCCAGACUCCUACGGGAGGCAGCAGUAGGGAAUCCUCGGCAAUGGACGGAAGUCUGACCGAGCAACGCCGCGUGAGUGAAGAAGGUUUUCGGAUCGUAAAGCUCUGUUGUAAGAGAAGAACGAGUGUGAGAGUGGAAAGUUCACACUGUGACGGUAUCUUACCAGAAAGGGACGGCUAACUACGUG